GAGGUUGUGGCUCAGAGGUAGAGUGUUUGCCUAGCACAUGCAGGGACCUGGGUUUGAUCCUCAGCACCACA
RNAcentral lists this transfer RNA (71 nucleotides) under Marmota monax (woodchuck). RNAcentral's name for it is "tRNA.Ala". Lineage: Eukaryota; Metazoa; Chordata; Mammalia; Rodentia; Sciuridae. The record is from RNAcentral.